RNAcentral lists this ribosomal RNA (492 nucleotides) under uncultured bacterium. Its description in RNAcentral is "partial 16S ribosomal RNA". It matches the Rfam family "Bacterial small subunit ribosomal RNA", at positions 29 to 507 of the family's 1533-position model. The record is from RNAcentral.
AGUGAACGCUGGCGGUAGGCCUAACACAUGCAAGUCGAACGGCAGCACAGUAAGAGCUUGCUCUUACGGGUGGCGAGUGGCGGACGGGUGAGGAAUACAUCGGAAUCUACUUUUUCGUGGGGGAUAACGUAGGGAAACUUACGCUAAUACCGCAUACGACCUACGGGUGAAAGCAGGGGAUCUUCGGACCUUGCGCGAUUGAAUGAGCCGAUGUCGGAUUAGCUAGUUGGCGGGGUAAAGGCCCACCAAGGCGACGAUCCGUAGCUGGUCUGAGAGGAUGAUCAGCCACACUGGAACUGAGACACGGUCCAGACUCCUACGGGAGGCAGCAGUGGGGAAUAUUGGACAAUGGGCGCAAGCCUGAUCCAGCCAUACCGCGUGAGUGAAGAAGGCCUUCGGGUUGUAAAGCCCUUUUGUUGGGAAAGAAAAACAGCAGGUUAAUACCCCGCUGUUAUGACGGUACCCAAAGAAUAAGCACCGGCUAACUUCGUG